UUUGUCAGUGGGCAAACGUUCAAAAUCAGCAGGGAUCAAAUACUUUUUCCCCUCACUGUAUAAAAAGACAAGAAAAAAAAAACCCUGCAUGAAACAAAGCAAAUACACUGCUAAAACAAUAUAUAAAGUGAAAAGCUACCUCUCUCUAAUUGGUGAGACACAAUCUUACACAGGAUGAAUGGAUCAGCAUCAGACACAGGACAAAGAGGUGAGUUCCUUGUCGCAUGUUCAGAAGAUCAUGGAAAACUCUAGAGACAUCUGGCUUCUUCCUCAAUUCCUGAUUGCUGCUUUUAUAGCGCUCUAAAUUAGUGACUGCCCAGUGAGGUCUAUCAAUCACUUGACCAAUAGCCACAGCUAAACCUGUAACCUGUAGGAGGUGACUAGUGUCUUAAGUAAAGGCGAAUCCAAGAUUAUGCCAUGCUUUGGAAGGAAAUAACUACAAAAACAAGUCUAUUCCAUCUAAAAGUACAUGGCUCAUUAGAUGUGCAGCAGCCAUCUUAACUGAUUCAAUAUCACCUUACUCCAUGGACCACCUAGGGGUAAGAGAUAUUACUGCACAUGAAUGAGAACAUUUAAAAUGUGUUAUUUGUUUCUAACCAGUACCCUAGGGAACUGGUCUACAGGAGUACUCUACAGUGGAAGGUGGCUCCCACAAUAAUGUCUGGAUUUUACAAAUCCUCCUGGCUGACGUUAG
This is a non-coding RNA of Pelobates cultripes (western spadefoot toad), 694 nucleotides long. The record is from the annotation of a GenBank genome assembly. Lineage: Eukaryota; Metazoa; Chordata; Amphibia; Anura; Pelobatidae.